GGUGUUUGUGCGCGUGUGCGUGUGCGUGUGUGUGUGCAUGUGCGUGUGUGUGUGUGUGUGUGUGUGUGUGUGUGGACCAGAAGUCCCCACAAGAAUAGUAAACAAACAAAAAUUGGACCAACUGUGAACAGUUGACCUAUGAGGUCAAAUGCUAUUUCUAGGGGUUUAGGCUUAAGGUUAGAAUUUGUGUUAGAAUUAUGCUAAGGGUUAGGGUUAGGAGCUAGGGUUAGUUUUAGGGUUAGGAGCUAGGGUUAGUUUUAGGAUUAGGAGCUGGGGUUAGUUUUAGGAUUAGGAGCUGGGGUUCGUUUUAGGAUUAGAAGCUGGGGUUAGUUUUAGGAUGAGGAGCUGGGGUUAGUUUUAGGAUUAGGAGCUGGGGUUAGUUUUAGGAUUAGGAGCUGGGGUUAGUUUUAGGAUUAGGAGCUGGGGUUAGUUUUAGGAUUAGAAGCUGGGGUUAGUUUUAGGAUUAGGAGCUGGGGUUAGUUUUAGGAUUAGGAGCUAUGGUUAGUUUUAGGAUUAGGAGCUGGGGUUAGUUUUAGGGUUAGGAGCUAGGGUUAGUUUUAGGAUUAGGAGCUAGGGUUAGGUUUAGGGUUAGGGUUAAGGUUAGGUUUUUGGGUUAGGGUUAAGGUUAGGGUUAGGGUAAGGGGUUAGGGAAAAUAGGAUUUUGAAUGGGACUGAAUUAUGUGUCCCCACAAGGUUAGUUAUACAAGACUGUGUGUGUGUGUGACAUUUCCUCAGGCCCUUACCUCACAGGGGUGGGCAACUCCAGUCCUUGAGGGCCUGAUUGGUGUCACACCUUUUUUCCAUCCCUAGCAAACACAGGUGAUUAAUCAAAUUGCAUUCUAAACUGAAGAUCAUGAUUAGGUGAUUAUUGGAGUCAGGUGUGUUAGCCGGGGCUGGGGCAAAACUGUGACACCAAUCAGGCCCUAAGGGACUGGAACCCCAUACGCCUUGCAGCAAUGCUGUGUUGAGCUUAAGGACUUUGUGCUUGGUCGUCAAUGAGAGGCUUUGCCUAUAUGUGUCUGUCUGGCACAACUUAUUUUUGUGGGCAAUGUUUGUCUAGAUUGUUUGUGUGUGUGUGUGUGUGUGUGUGUGUGUGUGUGUGUGUGUGUGUGUGUGUGUGUGUGUGUGUGUGUGUGUGUGUGUGUGUGUGUGUGUGUGUGUGUCUGUCUAGGUUGUGUUUCUGUCUAGGUUGUAUGUGUAAGUGUGUGUGUCUCUAGGACUAGGUUGUGCGUCAGUCUAGUGUGUGUGUGUUUGGCUUCCCCUGGUUUCCCCCGAUCAAGGCUGGCCUGAUUCUCCUGACAGCCCCUGCAGGUAAAUCCCCCCAACAGCCUGCUCAGAGUCUGGGCCCACUGCUGUCAGUGACACACACAGACACAUAUACCGCACCGCCACUGCUAAGUCGUGGCCGCCACUGCAAAUAAAUAUAUAUAUGUACAGUAAGUGUUUUUGGAGAAAAUAAUGUCAAGAUGGUGAAACGUUUUCAGUGUAAACUUAAACGCCGAAAACCAGAUAUAAAGUAUAAAAGAUAAUGGUUAUACAGUAUAUACAGUGCAUUCCUAAAGUAUUCAGACUUUUUACACAUUUUGUUACGUUAAUUACAGCCUUAUUCUAAAAUGGAUUAACAUAGUUUUCCCCCCUCAUCAAUCUACACACAAUACGCCACAAUGACAAAGCAAAAACUGGAUUUUAGAAAAAAAAUCUAAUUUAUAAAAAAUAAAACCUGAAAUAUUAUAUUUACAUAAGUAUUCAUACCCUUUACUCAGUACUUUCUUGAAGCAC
RNAcentral lists this long non-coding RNA (1779 nucleotides) under Salmo salar (Atlantic salmon). RNAcentral's name for it is "lncRNA (ENSSSAG00000109730.1)". The record is from RNAcentral. Lineage: Eukaryota; Metazoa; Chordata; Actinopteri; Salmoniformes; Salmonidae.